RNAcentral lists this small RNA (739 nucleotides) under Pan troglodytes (chimpanzee). Its description in RNAcentral is "retained intron". Lineage: Eukaryota; Metazoa; Chordata; Mammalia; Primates; Hominidae. The record is from RNAcentral.
CUGGAGCACUCGCUGACAACCCCUCUCUUCCUUCUCAGGGGGCCCGUCUGGGCAGAAACCAUGUGGAAGAGCUGCUGCGCUGCCUCGGGGCACACAUCCACACUCCCAACCGCCGGCAGCUGGCCCAGGAGCUGCGGGCGCUGCAAGGACGGCUGAGGGCCCAGGGCCUUGGGCCUGCGCUUCUGCACAGACCGCUGUUUGCCUUCCCGGAUGCGGUGAAGCAGAUCCUCCGCAAGCGCCAGAUCCGUCCACACUGGAUGUUCGUUCUGGACUCACUGCUCAGCCGUGCUGUGCGGGCAGCCCUGGCUGUGCUAGGACCGGGUAGGAGGGGAAUGCCACGGGCCUCCUGCCAGCGAGGGUGUGGUGCUUGCUGGGCGUGGUGAACAUCGAAUGGGCCGGUGGAGGCCAGGCAGGACAGGGGCAGGCAGGCGCCGGUGGGGGCGUGACUAAAUGGACAUCUCCCAUACCGGCACCGCCUGGGGCCUGCCCAGAGCCGGGCACCCUACCCCCGCACUUUGGGGUCUGGGGUUACCAAACGGGCGUUGUAGCCUUGCCUGAGUUCACCGCACUGGGCUGCAGAGGUGGAGAAGGAGGCGGUCUCACCGAGGUCAGAGGAGCUGAGUAAAGAAGGGGACUCCCAGCAGAGCCCAGGCCAGCAGAGCCCGCUUCCGGUGGAGCCCGAGCAGGGCCCCGCUCCUCUGAUGGUGCAGCUGAGCCUCUUGAGGGCAGAGACUGAUCG